RNAcentral lists this unclassified non-coding RNA (341 nucleotides) under soil metagenome. Its description in RNAcentral is "partial contains 5.8S ribosomal RNA, internal transcribed spacer 2, and large subunit ribosomal RNA". The stretch from base 1 to 120 matches the Rfam family "5.8S ribosomal RNA", at positions 35 to 154 of the family's 154-position model. The record is from RNAcentral.
GAUGAAGAACGCAGCGAAAUGCGAUAAGUAGUGUGAAUUGCAGAAUUCAGUGAAUCAUCGAAUCUUUGAACGCACAUUGCGCCCUUUGGUAUUCCAAAGGGCAUGCCUGUUCGAGCGUCAUUUGUACCCUCAAGCUUUGCUUGGUGUUGGGCGUCUUGUCUCUAGCUUUGCUGGAGACUCGCCUUAAAGUAAUUGGCAGCCGGCCUACUGGUUUCGGAGCGCAGCACAAGUCGCACUCUCUAUCAGCAAAGGUCUAACAUCCAUUAAGCCUUUUUUUCAACUUUUGACCUCGGAUCAGGUAGGGAUACCCGCUGAACUUAAGCAUAUCAAUAAGCGGAGGA